CUACGGGCCGCUGCAGUGGGGAAUAUUGGACAAUGGACCAAAAGUCUGAUCCAGCAAUUCUGUGUGCACGAUGAAGGUUUUCGGAUCGUAAAGUGCUUUCAACAGGGAAGAAGUUCUGACGGUACCUGUAGAAGAAGUGACGGCUAAAUACGUGCCAGCAGCCGCGGUAAUACGUAUGUCACAAGCGUUAUCCGGAAUUAUUGGGCAUAAAGGGCAUCUAGGCGGCUUGGUAAGUCUGAUGUGAAAAUGCGGGGCUCAACCCCGUAUUGCGUUGGAUACUGCUAGGCUAGAGUAUUGGAGAGGUAGGCGGAACUACAUGUGUAGAGGUGAAAUUCGUAGAUAUAUGUAGGAAUGCCGAUGACGAAGGUAGCUUACUGGACAAUUACUGACGCUGAAGUGCGAAAGCUAGGGGAGCAAACAGGAUUAGAUACCCCCGUAGUC
RNAcentral lists this ribosomal RNA (441 nucleotides) under uncultured bacterium. RNAcentral describes it as "partial 16S ribosomal RNA". It matches the Rfam family "Bacterial small subunit ribosomal RNA", at positions 339 to 795 of the family's 1533-position model. The record is from RNAcentral.